GUUGCUAUUACUGCUACAACUUCUACUACUACUACCGCUAAUAUUGCUACGACUGCUACAGCUACUAUCACUACUGUUGCUACUGCUGCUGCUACUGUUACUGCUAAUAUUGCUACUGUUGCUAUUAGUGCUACUGUUACUAAUACUGCUAUUACUAUUGUUUCUACUGUUACUACUACUACUACUUCUACUACAACUAAUACUACUUAUUUUUCUUUUUCU
RNAcentral lists this long non-coding RNA (222 nucleotides) under Carica papaya (papaya). RNAcentral describes it as "long non-coding RNA (CPAP_LNC000965)". Lineage: Eukaryota; Viridiplantae; Streptophyta; Magnoliopsida; Brassicales; Caricaceae. The record is from RNAcentral.